AUACCAGCUCUUCGAGUGGUGUGGAUGUUUAUUGGGCCUAAAGCAUCCGUAGCUGGCUGGGCAAGUCCCCUGUUAAAUCCACCGAUUUAAUCGUUGGAGUGCGGGGGAUACUGCUUGGCUAGGGGACGGGAGAGGCAGACGGUAUUUUCGGGGUAGGGGUGAAAUCCUAUAAUCCCGGGAAGACCACCAGUGGCGAAGGCUGUCUGCUAGAACGCGCCCGACGGUGAGGGAUGAAAGCUGGGGGAGCGAACCGGAUUAGAUACCCGGGUAGUCCCAGCUGUAAACGAUGCAGGCUAGGUGUUUGGACGGCCACGUGCCGUUCUAGUGCCGCAGGGAAGCCGUUAAGCCUGCCGCCUGGGGAGUACGGCCGCAAGGCUGAA
RNAcentral lists this ribosomal RNA (380 nucleotides) under uncultured archaeon. Its description in RNAcentral is "bacterial SSU rRNA". It matches the Rfam family "Archaeal small subunit ribosomal RNA", at positions 473 to 853 of the family's 1478-position model. The record is from RNAcentral.